GUGCCAGCAGCCGCGGUAAUACAGAGACCUCGAGCAUUAUCCGGAUUCAUUGGGCGUAAAGGGUCCGCAGGUGGCCGUUCACGUCACGGGUUAAAUUUUAGGGCUCAACCCUGAAACCGCUCGUGAUACGGUUCGGCUCGAGCAUGGGAGAGGUACGCGGAAUUACCGGUGUAGUAGUAAAAUGCGUUCAUAUCGGUAAGAACACCAAAUGCGAAGGCAGCGUACUGGAACAUUGCUGACACUCAGGGACGAAAGCGUGGGGAGCGAAAGGGAUUAGAUACCCCUGUAGUCCACGCCCUAAACGAUGGAUGCUAGAUAUCGGGAGUAUCGACCCUCCCGGUGUCGGUUAAAAUAGCAAACGCAUUAAGCAUCCCGCCUGGGGAGUACGGUCGCAAGACUAAAACUCAAAGGAAUUGGCGG
RNAcentral lists this ribosomal RNA (420 nucleotides) under uncultured bacterium. RNAcentral describes it as "bacterial SSU rRNA". It matches the Rfam family "Bacterial small subunit ribosomal RNA", at positions 505 to 916 of the family's 1533-position model. The record is from RNAcentral.